RNAcentral lists this ribosomal RNA (243 nucleotides) under uncultured bacterium. RNAcentral describes it as "partial 16S ribosomal RNA". It matches the Rfam family "Bacterial small subunit ribosomal RNA", at positions 333 to 592 of the family's 1533-position model. The record is from RNAcentral.
AUGGUCCUACGGGGCGCAGCAGUGGGGAAUAUUGCGCAAUGGGGGCAACCCUGACGCAGCAACGCCGCGUGAUUGAAGACGGCCUUCAGGUUGUAAAGAUCUUUAAUCGGGGACGAAUUUUGACGGUACCCGAAGAAUAAGCUCCGGCUAACUACGUGCCAGCAGCCGCGGUAAUACGUAGGGAGCAAGCGUUAUCCGGAUUUACUGGGGGUAAAGGGCGUGUAGGCGGGCAUGCAAGCCAGA